AUGCUUCCAGGAAAAGUCUCUAAGCUUCAGUUACACAGGAAUCGUACCCGAAACCGACACAGGUGGUCAGGUCGAGUAGACCAAGGCGCUUGAGAGAACUCUGCUGAAGGAACUAGGCAAAAUGGUACCGUAACUUCGGGAGAAGGUACGCUGUUGUUGGUGAUGGAACUCGCUUCCUGAGCUGACGACAGCCGCAGAAACCAGGCCGCUGCAACUGUUUAUUAAAAACAUAGCACUCUGCAAACACGAAAGUGGACGUAUAGGGUGUGAUGCCUGCCCGGUGCUGGAAGGUUAAUUGAUGGGGUUAGCGUAAGCGAAGCUCUUGAUCGAAGCCCCAGUAAACGGCGGCCGUAACUAUAACGGUCCUAAGGUAGCGAAAUUCCUUGUCGGGUAAGUUCCGACCUGCACGAAUGGCAUAAUGAUGGCGGCGCUGUCUCCAGCAGAGGCUCAGUGAAAUCGAAAUCGCUGUGAAGAUGCAGUGUACCCGCGGCUAGACGGAAAGACCCCGUGAACCUUUACUGCAGCUUGACACUGAACUUUGACCUUACUUGUGUAGGAUAGGUGGGAGGCUUUGAAGCUGGAACGCUAGUUCCAGUGGAGCCGUCCUUGAAAUACCACCCUGGUAAUGUUGAGGUUCUAACUCUGUCCCGUGAUCCGGGACGAGGACCGUGUCUGGUGGGUAGUUUGACUGGGGCGGUCUCCUCCUAAAGAGUAACGGAGGAGUACGAAGGUGCGCUCAGCGUGGUCGGAAAUCACGCGUAGAGUAUAAAGGCAAAAGCGCGCUUAACUGCGAGACCCACAAGUCGAGCAGGUACGAAAGUAGGUCUUAGUGAUCCGGUGGUUCUGUAUGGAAGGGCCAUCGCUCAACGGAUAAAAGGUACUCUGGGGAUAACAGGCUGAUACCGCCCAAGAGUUCAUAUCGACGGCGGUGUUUGGCACCUCGAUGUCGGCUCAUCUCAUCCUGGGGCUGAAGCAGGUCCCAAGGGUAUGGCUGUUCGCCAUUUAAAGAGGUACGCGAGCUGGGUUUAGAACGUCGUGAGACAGUUCGGUCCCUAUCUACCGUGGGCGCUGGAAAUUUGAGAGGAUCUGCUCCUAGUACGAGAGGACCAGAGUGGACGAACCUCUGGUGUACCGGUUGUGACGCCAGUCGCAUCGCCGGGUAGCUAUGUUCGGAAGGGAUAACCGCUGAAAGCAUCUAAGCGGGAAGCCUACCUCAAGAUAAGAUUUCCCUAGGACUUUAUGUCCUCUAAAGAGCCGUUCGAGACUAGGACGUUGAUAGGUUGGAUGUGGAAGCAUAGUGAUAUGUGAAGCUGACCAAUACUAAUUGCUCGUGAGGCUUGACUAU
This 1345-nucleotide ribosomal RNA is filed under the name Acinetobacter baumannii. RNAcentral's name for it is "partial 23S ribosomal RNA". It matches the Rfam family "Bacterial large subunit ribosomal RNA", at positions 1602 to 2925 of the family's 2925-position model. The record is from RNAcentral. Lineage: Bacteria; Pseudomonadati; Pseudomonadota; Gammaproteobacteria; Moraxellales; Moraxellaceae.